CUACGGGACGCUCCAGGCGCGAAACCUUCACAAUGCACGCAAGUGUGAUGGGGGGACUCCAAGUGUUCUUGUUUUACAAGAACUUUUGUGAUGUGAAAAUAGCAUCACGAAUAAGAGCUGGGUAAGACGGGUGCCAGCCGCCGCGGUAAUACCCGCAGCUCGAGUGGUCUGGAGUAUUAUUGGGUCUAAAGCGUUCGUAGCCGGACUCGUUAGUUCUCUGUGAAAUCUGGCAGCCUAACUGUCAGGCGGGCAGAGAAUACUGCGAGUCUUGAGACCGGGAUGGGCCAAAGGUACUCUUUGGGUAGGGGUGAAAUCCGAUAAUCCAGAGGGGACCACCAGUGGCGAAAGCGUUUGGCUAAAACGGGUCUGACGGUGAGGGACGAAAGCUAGGGGAGCGAACGGGAUUAGAUACCCCUGUAGUC
This 422-nucleotide ribosomal RNA is filed under the name uncultured archaeon. RNAcentral's name for it is "partial 16S ribosomal RNA". It matches the Rfam family "Archaeal small subunit ribosomal RNA", at positions 323 to 746 of the family's 1478-position model. The record is from RNAcentral.